Molecule: ribosomal RNA, 281 nt
Filed under: uncultured prokaryote
Description: partial 16S ribosomal RNA
Rfam family: Bacterial small subunit ribosomal RNA
Source: RNAcentral
CACGGGGGUUGCGAGCGUUGUCCGGAAUUACUAGGCGUAAAGGGCAGGCAGGCGGAUCCAUAAGUUUAUCGUUUAAGGCGUCGGCUUAACCGGCGUAGGGCGGUAGAUACUGUGGAUCUGGAAUGCGGUUGGGGAAGACAGAAUUCCUGGUGUAGCGGUGGAAUGCGCAGAGGUCAGGAGGAAUACCGAAGGCGAAGGCAGUCUUCCAAGCCGUUAUGACGCUCAACUGCGAAGGUGUGGGUAGCAAACAGGAUUAGAUACCCGGGUAGUCCCUGAGCGGG